This is an RNA transcript of Triticum aestivum (bread wheat), 3213 nucleotides long. RefSeq lists it as uncharacterized. The transcript is spliced from 4 exons. The record is from RefSeq and is a predicted model, not a curated record. NCBI's taxonomy places the organism in Eukaryota, Viridiplantae, Streptophyta, Magnoliopsida, Poales, Poaceae.
CGCGACGGCGUCGACGGCCUCCUUCUCUCCCCGUCAACAUCUCGCGCCGCCGUGUCGACGCCAAUCCCGCGCGCCUACCGGUCUGGCAUCCUGGGCAGCCAGAACCAGAUGGUAGUUGCAAAAGGGCUCACGGCUCUCCGUACAUGCCGGCCACGUAGCUAUACCGUUCGGAUGUGGGUGGGAAGACCACGGCGCCCUUGUCGUCGAGCCCUGUCUUCUACGAGUGCGGCCGUCCUGCACGCAGCGGCAGAUGCACGCAGCGCAUCGACGGCCCUGCUGCGCGAGGUGAUCCGUGCAAAAGAAAACGCCAGAUUCAGUAAAGCGUGCAUACAUAGCUGGAUACAAGCAAAUACAUCCCCUAAGUCGGCCCUUGUGGACUCGCCGAGGUACGUUCGGUCAUACGAUUGGGCCGGUCCGGUCAGAAAGUGCAGGGCGCACAUUAUUGCAUUUUGGCUCGCGGGCCCUGGCUUCGGCUGGGUGGCGUGUACCCAGAUUGGACGCAUGACGGCCGCUCUCAGGUCCUACAUCUAGCACGGGAUCCCUUUUCGGAUUUGGGGGGAGGACUACGGCGAGCCGGAGGCAGUGGGUCAGGCUCUGCUCAUGGCGAUUCCAGCUGCGGAGGCGCCGGCGCUCGACUCUGGAUCGACGUCGACUGCCAACGAUUCAGCAGCGUGCUUGGGGGCUUCCGUUACGGCCGGUGGCGGCGCCGCGGCGGCCGCGUCAGGAGUAGGCUCGCCGGAAUCGGUCGUCCGCCCGUUCUCUCCUGAUACGCGUCGGUCAGAUGAGGGUGGGGCAUAGCCGGCGGCGGAGAAGGCUUUAUCUGAUGUUGAGUUCUCCGGGGGGGUCCUGCACCAUGUUCAGCUCGGGCGGUGGCGAUGUGGCUGUCGGACGCGCCCAUGGCGCGGCGCCGCCCGUCGUCUCGCGCGGCUCGAUUCAGUCCUUACCCCACGGUGCGCAAGCAUCCGCAAACACCACCAUCCGAGUUGGCUGGAAGCGCAGGCCAAGAGGGCCGCAAGCACCAGACGAGCGGGCGGCGGUGGUUGAUCGUGUGCCGGUACUUGAAGCUGCCAUACGAGGGUUCGCUGACAGGGGGACUGAUGUGGUUGUCAACCCGGUGCUUGGCACAAUUUUCGAUUCUAUGCCGGAGGUGUAUGAAUUCUACAAUCUUAUUCUCGUCGCUGGUUAAUUUCCCUGGUUAAUUUUCGUUGACAAAAGAGCUUGAAUUGCUAGUAAAAAUAACCACCGGAGUUGCAUGAUUAGGUUCUUUCUGUCCAAUAUUAUUCUCGUCGCUGUUUCUCUGUUGGGAUGGUGACAUUUUUUAGUGUUCAAACAUUGCAAAGGGAAAGCUAUACUUCGAUAUAAUCCAAUUGUAGAAGUUUGGUGAAUUUCGUGCAGCAGUCUGAAUGUAGAGUGGAGCCUUGGCGCAGUGGUAAAGCUGCUGCCUUGUGACCAUGAGGUCAUGGGUUUAAGUCCUGGAAACAGCCUCUUACAGAAAUGUAGGGAAAGGCUGCGUACUAUAGACCCAAAGUGGUCGGACCCUUCCCUGGACCCUGCGCAAGCGGGAGCUACAUGCACCAGGUUGCCCUUUUUUUUUUAGUCUGAAUGUAGAGUGGGGGAGGGAAUAUAUUCUGGAUCAGGCUUGGCAGAAAAUGGUCCUUACUCGUUUUCUUAAUCAUGACCCGUUUUCUUAAUCAUGACCCGGUGUUCGGUUACAGUAGUACGCGUGCCCCGGCAUUAUGUACACUGGUUAUUUUUCAUUGACCAAAAAAAUGUACAUCUUCCAUGGCGCGUCCGAUACCAAACAUCACGUUGCUCCCACCUCCGGCCGCCUUGAUGAGAAGGUUGAUGCCAACGCUGGUGAUCCCACAACCAAAAGUCGCACGGGCCUCCGUCCUGGGUCAGUUUCAAAACUGAAUAAUGAACAAAAAAAUACAAAGCAAACAGCAGAAAACUGCAACAUCUGAUGGAUGGGUGUACAGAUAACAGACUUACCCCUGGUUCGGGCACUUGUAAAAACGGACGCCGGGAUUCCGGUCUAUCCCGGAGACAAACCAUCUAGUCCUCGUCCCGGCACACCUCGGGCACAGGAUCAAUGGCAGCGGGGGCAGGGGUGUCCGGAGACGACGAGCGGAAGAUGAGCUCUGGGACAUCGCGGCACGGCGACGUCAACGGAUCGCAGCAACUCGGGUGCUUGUGUGCGUGUUUGAAGCAAAACGAUCGGUCCUGCACGCAGCGGCUGGUGCAUGAGCCUUAAAUACAUGCAGCUGGGUGAAGUGUUUACUUUAUAUAGUGUUCGGUGCAACGGUAAUAUUGUGUCCUUUCGCCUGUACUAUACAUAUGCAGUGCUUGCAGCAGAUGAGUCAGUCCGGCUGUCAGUGCAUAGUACAACGGAUAAAACGAAUACGAAACAUUACGCUAGUUGGCGGUGCUCUAUACUCGAAGUAGCACUUCCAGCUAGUCCUAAUCGCGAUGCUCCGCCAGCCGUGGAUGCGCUGCGUGCAGCGAUGGACUUCUCUGUCUUCUACCCCACUCAAACUGCGCUGAGCACAGUCGCGCUGCUGCCUCGUCGAUCUCCAUGGCAGGCCACCCCAGGCCGAUAGGUAAUGCACCAAUGUAGCCAAUUAAUCUCUGAAUUUCCAAAGUGUAGAAUACUUCUUUUCAUACCUUCAUAUUUUUGGAGAAUACAAUGUUGUUCUGAAGUACCACCAGGCUAGUUCAGAAAACUGGUAUCAGUUAUUUGCGCAAUGUAUUCACAUAUGCCUCUUCUACUGUACAAUGUUCUUUUUUCUUGUGAGCUAUUGAUCGCAAUGUUUGACUAAAAUGGAUUCAAGGAUAUACAUAAGCAUAUGAAUGCAGACAUACAGAUGCAUUAUCCGGAAAAAGAAAGAUUCAGAAUAUUAGAGAUGCCAUCUGUUGAAGCUAGACAUAAGUACCUGAAAUACAUUGGAGCCAUGCUCUUCAUGAUAUAAUAGACAGCUAUGUAUCAUCUUCCAGACACAACUAAGAUUUAUUUGCUAAACAAGCAGGGCAUUACUCAAGUGAGCUGAUGAAGAGGAAUCCAGAGGCGUGGGAUUUGCACUGUGUAUCAUUUUAAGCAUGGUUGGCCGCAUCGUUGGCUCCUCUUGAAAGCACAUGUACUACUUGCACCAAGAGCAAGAAUUUAACAGUAGAAAAGCCGUAUCAACUAUAUGUAUGCCCCAAUGCGAUCAACAA